This is a long non-coding RNA of Phragmites australis (common reed), 2489 nucleotides long. RefSeq lists it as uncharacterized. Lineage: Eukaryota; Viridiplantae; Streptophyta; Magnoliopsida; Poales; Poaceae. The transcript is spliced from 5 exons. The record is from RefSeq and is a predicted model, not a curated record.
GGCCACCCCUGGUUCAUGGUCCACAACCUAGGGCCGAGGUUCCCCGACGCCGCCCACCUCGCUUGGAAAGCCUCCGCCGCCGCUCGUUCUCAUCGGAAGGCCGCCGCUCAUCCCUACGCGAGGCGGCGCCACCCAUCCCUACACGAGGUGGCUGCCGCUGCUGGCAUACCUCAUCGCCUGGAAACCACCGCCGCCCACAUCCUCACCUGGACGGCCGCCUCGCCUCCUAGUUCAUCGCCUAGGGCCGCUGUCGCACCCGCUCCUCCCCCCCCCCCCCAACCUGGUUGCCGCCGCUGCCGUCCCCCUCUUGCUGCCUUGGUGACUGGGAUCCUAGCCGAGGUUGGGAAAUGGGUAUGAAUGAUCGGUUCAGUGAUUUGUUAUGGAUGCCUCACAGCCAGCACAAAGUAUCAAAAAUUCAGAAAACCCCAGUAACUUUAUGAAUAUCCGACAUCAUCAUGUUGGCAUUCCUUAUCACCCACUAUGCCGGUCAGGUCUUGAGAAUCUUGGGUUCUAUCAAAUAGCAAGAAUGAAGAAAAUAAAUGUUGAUAAAUAUUUGAUAUCGGCAUUGGUGGAGCGUUGGUGGCCUGAGACAAAUAGUUUUCACCUAGCAGUAGUUGAGAUGACAGUAAUGCUGCAAGAUGUGAGUUGCUUAUGGGGUUUGCCGAUCCAUGAUGAACCGCUUAUCGACCAAUCUGAUAAGAAAUGGGCUGAAUCAAUUGAGAGGUUUCUUGGAAUUCCAAUGGACGAACAGCAUAUGAAGAAGAAGAAGAAAAGAAAAAAAGAGGAUGACGGGGAUGUCGUGAUCUACUCACAAUACUCUAUUAGUUUGAGCAAACUGCGUGAUCGUUUUUGUGAGAUGCCACAGGAACCAAUACAAUGAGAGGUUCAUUGGCAUACUCGAGCAGUAGUUUUAGAGAUUAUUGGUUCCAUAGCUUUUACUGACACAUCUGGAGAUGGAGUGCCAGCAGUGUAUCUCCAAUUCAUGGAAAAUUUAGGGCAGCCAACUGCAUACAAUUGGGGAGCAGUUGUACUUGCCAUGAGGUAUAGGUAAUUGAGCAUGGGUGCUGAGAGGGCGAGAUCAGAAAUAACUGGUCCUUUAUUGCUACUACAACUGUGGUCUUGGUCACGUUUGCCACUUGGUCGUCCGGUAAAUAUAGUCGAGAAGACUAAUGAAAGCAAGGAGGAACAAGAAGAACAUGACGAUUGAUGAGGUAGUGAAUAUUAUCUAAAGCAAAUUGAUUUGAUUCGAGAAGGCACAGUGAACUGGCAGCCAUAUGAUGAUCUUAUGGAGCAAAUGCCUACCCAAGUUCAUAAUUAUCGUGCUUGGUGGUUUGCUAGAGUACCGCUCUUCCAUUUCUGGAUUGUUGAGUUCUACUAUCCUGACGUAAUGCGUCAAUUUAGGCUACCACAGACCAUUCCACCUUGUCUACCACACAGCGAGGACGAGUUCUCAAACUACACAAAAUAAAGCACACAGGUGGGAAAUCCGUAACUGGGAGAGAGUGCAUGCCAAGUACAUACAACAAUACAAUGAUGCCGAAGCUACAACAGUUCAAGAGGAUCUCCCUUUUGAUCAAACUAGUUUGGCGGAGUAUAGACAAUGGUUCCAGCAAAAUGGUAUGUACACUGUGUUCUUCGACUCGCAGUGCUUGGGAGGCCUUGAGAACCCCAUCCCAUAUCCCCAAGACAAUAUGGAAUGGACUGGCUACAUGCCUAGUGGUCGACCACUAGCCCAUAUUGGUCUACGUGACAUUAAAAAUGCAGCAUGGGGAAUCAAAUAUGUUGUUACUAGUGGAUACAAGAAGUUUGGCAGAUAUAUACUAAAUGCAUCUGUAGGAAAUCUGAGGGAUCUUAACCUAGAGCCUCAGCUGCAUAAUAUGCUCCGUGAGGCUGGACUGCCUACCCAGGUUGAAGGUAUUUCAUCAGAUGAUUGAAGUUUCUUGCAUCGCUCACCCACCAAGCCCUCCUAGAGAUUCCAGCUUAGAAUUGAUAGAUGAUUGGAUCAACACGGGAAGAGGUUUUACCAGAUACCUCGAUGGUACUGCAGCUACUGGGAGCGAAGCACCAACAACGCAAGAUGCAAGUCAAGUGACGCAAGGGACCAUCAAUGAGGAGCCAGUAGUACUUUCAAAUGAUGUGUUAUGACCUAGUGACAAGGCUGCUGUCUAGGCUAAUACACUUUUAGGACUCGUGGUUUAUAGAGCUUUUGAAACCUGAGCGAAAUUUUUUGUUUAUAAACCAUCGUAAACUCUGGUUACUGGCAGCAUACUAGCUAGCUCUGUCACGUGCUGGUCUGGUGUAACGUGUGUGAUCGGAUGCUGCUGGCUUGCGUUUCUUAUGUUAUAACUGGUAGUUGCGCUCUGAAUUUCUGGCGCAUGGUUUGCUUAAUUAAUUCAUUGUACUAUAAGUGAACAAGCAAGAUGCUUAUAUAUUAUGUUCAGAACUAGUCCAUCUUGGCUUAUUCAAUAGAGUGAGAUACACGAUCUGAG